AAGCGUGCGCAGGCGGUUUUGUAAGUUUGUCGUGAAAUCCCCGGGCUCAACCUGGGAAUGGCGAUGAAGACUGCAAGGCUAGAGUUUGGCAGAGGGGGGUAGAAUUCCACGUGUAGCAGUGAAAUGCGUAGAUAUGUGGAGGAACACCGAUUGGCGAAGGCAGCCCCCUGGGUCAAAACUGACGCUCAUGCACGAAAGCGUGGGGAGCAAACAGGAUUAGAUACCCUUGU
RNAcentral lists this ribosomal RNA (230 nucleotides) under uncultured bacterium. RNAcentral describes it as "partial 16S ribosomal RNA". It matches the Rfam family "Bacterial small subunit ribosomal RNA", at positions 563 to 791 of the family's 1533-position model. The record is from RNAcentral.